GACAACUCUAUGCUUGCAUGGCUCACUGCCAUUGACAUCAAGUAUCAGAUCUGGAAAUUUGGAGUUGUGUUUACAGACAAUACUUUCCUCUACCUGGUGUGGUACACAGUUAUGUCACUUCUUGGACAUUACAACAAUUUCUUCUUUGCUUGUCACCUGCUGGACAUCGCAAUGGGUGUCAAGACCCUGCGUACAAUUCUUUCCUCGGUCAC
Sinocyclocheilus rhinocerous is the source of this 212-nucleotide long non-coding RNA. RefSeq lists it as uncharacterized. NCBI's taxonomy places the organism in Eukaryota, Metazoa, Chordata, Actinopteri, Cypriniformes, Cyprinidae. The transcript has 3 exons. The record is from RefSeq and is a predicted model, not a curated record.